Molecule: long non-coding RNA, 2931 nt
Filed under: Volvox carteri
Lineage: Eukaryota; Viridiplantae; Chlorophyta; Chlorophyceae; Chlamydomonadales; Volvocaceae
Description: long non-coding RNA (VCAR_LNC001785)
Source: RNAcentral
UCAGCCACUUGCAGUGACUUGAUAUGCAUUCAGGCGCGGCCGUAAACAAAGCCCUUAGGCUUAGCUGCACUUAUCCAACGCAAAAGAUCAGUAUAUGCCAGCUAGCAGGGCAACUUCCUUUUGGCCUGUUGCCAAGCCUUACUCGGUCAGCUCCCUUACACCCUGUUGUUAAUUUGAAAGCCAUAUGUUACAUACUUAAGGCAUGUAUUUAAGGUUUAAUUAGCAAAGAUUCUCUCCUGCUGUGUUCAAGCAUGACAAGUUAAGUCACCAGCUCGCACCGUCCCACAGGCACAGCAUUGUUGAUGUAACUAGCUAAAACAUGUGGGAGGUGCAUUAGUCUCAACCGCAGGCGCGGCGGCGGCCAUACUCCACCCCCUGUCUUUGCACUGGUGCCGAUAUGCAUGUGACCGACUACCAAACCAGUUGGCACAGUUGGUGCAGUGAAAAGGCUGGGAGGAGUCCGGAGCUACAUCCGGUCUGUAAAUGAUCUUUCGUGGUUUGGAUGCCACCUCCAGCGCAUUCAAUGACAUGGCAAACUGGCUAAUGUGACCAGUAAGAAUGAUCACAAUGUGUAGGAAUACCAGAACAUUCACGUUUGUAUCAAUCGUCGAGCUUCUAAUGCUUCUACACAAGCAAGCAUUUGGUCCCGCCAUGACAAAAGAGCAUCCUAUUCUAUGGCAGGUUCUGGCAAGGAUUUAAAUGAUGCAAUCAACAAAGUUCGAUAGCCACGAAACAACUUCCCAAUAUUGAAUUUGCAGCCAUGUGAACUUUAUACCAUGCUGUACACUUCCGGACCAGGGUCCGGAAUUGUACGGCUUUUCCCCUCUUGCUGCCCAGAAGUCAUGUGAACGUGGACAAUUUGCAACACCAAUAAGAAACGUCACUGUGUUUAGCACUAUGUGAUUGCUGUGCAAAUUGCACCAUCUGGUACCUCCCAGCCCCACCUUCGUCGCUGCCGCUACUCCGUUGCUAAUUCCCGCCGCCGCCACACCUGCCAUUUAGGCUACUGCACCUCCCAGCCCCAACGCCGUCGCUGCCGCUGCUACUCCGUUGCUAAUUCCCACCGCUGCCGUGCCUGCUGUUGAGAGUUAUGGCCCUCCCAGCCCCACCUUCGUCGCUGCCGCUGCUGCUGUGUUGCUAAUUCCCGCCGCCGCCACGCCUGCCGUUUAGGCUACUGCACCUCCCAACCCCACCACCGUCGCUGCCACUGCUCCUGCGUUGCUAAUUCCCACCGCCGCCGCGCCUGCCAUUUAGGCUACUGCACCUCCCAGCCCCACUGCCGUCGCUUCUGCUGCUGCUGUGUUGCUACUUCCCGCCGCCGCCAUGCCUGCCGUUUAGGCUACUGCACCUGCCAACCCCACUGCCAUCGCUGCCACUGCUGCUGUGUUGCUAAUUCCCGCCACCGCCGUGCCUGCCAUUUAGGCUACUGCACCUCCCAGCCCCACUGCCGUCGCUUCUGCUGCUGCUGUGUUGCUAUUUCCCGCCGCCGCCAUGCCUGCCGUUUAGGCUACUGCACCUCCCAACCCCACUGCCGUCGCUGCCACUGCUGCUGUGUUGCUAAUUCCCGCUGCCGCCGCGCCUGCUGUUUAGGCUACUGUACCUCCCAACCCCACUGCCGUCGCUGCCACUGCUGCUGCGUUGCUAAUUCCUGCCGCCGCCGUGCCUGCCAUUUAGGCUACUGCACCUCCCAGCCCCAACACCGUCGCUGCCGCUGCUGCAGUGUUGCUAAUUCCCGCCGCCGCCACACCUGCCGUUUAGGCUACUGCACCUCCCAGCCCCAACACCGUCGCUGCCGCUGCUACUCCGUUGCUAAUUCCCACCGCUGCCGUGCCUGCUGUUGAGAGUAAUGGCCCUCCCAGCCCCACCUUCGUCGCUGCUGCUGCUGUGUUGCUAAUUCCCGCCGCCGCCACGCCUGCCAUUUAGGCUACUUCACCUCCCAGCCUUAACACCAUCGCUGCCGCUGCUGCUGCAUUGCUAUUUACUGCCACCGCCACGCCUGCCAUUUAGGCUACUGCACCUCCCAGCCCCACCUUCGUCGCGGCCGCUGCUACUCCUUUGCUAAAUCCUGCCGCCGCCACGCCUGCUGCUGUUGCUAUUUCCCGCCGCUGCCGUGCCUGCCGGUUAGGGUACUGCACCUCCCAGCCCCACCACUGUUGCUGCCGCUGCUACUCCGUUGCUAAUUCCCGCCGCCGCCGCGCCUGCUGCUGUUGCUAUUUCCCGCCGCCGCCAUGCCUGCCAUUUAGGCUACUGCACCUCCCAGCCCCACUGCCGUCGCUUCUGCUGCUGCUGUGUUGCUAUUUCCCGCUGCCGCCAUGCCUGCCGUUUAGGCUACUGCACCUCCCAACCCCACUGCCGUCGCUGCCGCUGCUACUCCGUUGCUAAUUCCCGCCGCCGCCACACCUGCCAUUUAGGCUACUGCACCUCCCAGCCCCAACGCCGUCGCUGCCGCUGCUGCUGUGUUGCUAAUUCCCGCCGCCGCCACGCCUGCCGUUUAGGCUACUUCACCUCCCAACCUUAACACCAUCGCUGCCGCUGCUGCUGCAUUGCUAUUUCCUGCCACCGCCACGCCUGCCAUUUAGGCUACUGCACCUCCCAGCCCCACCUUCGUCGCGGCCGCUGCUACUCCUUUGCUAAAUCCUGCCGCCGCCACGCCUGCUGCUGUUGCUAUUUCCCGCCGCUGCCGUGCCUGCCGUUUAGGCUACUGCACCUCCCAGCCCCACCACCGUUGCUGCCGCUGCUACUCCGUUGCUAAUUCCCGCCGCCGCCGCGCCUGCUGCUGUUGCUAUUUCCCGCCGCCGCCAUGCCUGCCAUUUAGGCUACUGCACCUCCCAGCCCCACUGCCGUCGCUUCUGCUGCUGCUGUGUUGCUAUUUCCCGCCGCCGCCAUGCCUGCCGUUUAGGCUACUGCACCUCCCAACCCCACUGCCGUCGC